UACGUAGGUCCCGAGCGUUGUCCGGAUUUAUUGGGCGUAAAGCGAGCGCAGGUGGUUUAAUAAGUCUGAUGUAAAAGGCAGUGGCUCAACCAUUGUGUGCAUUGGAAACUGUUAGACUUGAGUGCAGUAGAGGAGAGUGGAAUUCCAGGUGUAGCGGUGAAAUGCGUAGAUAUAUGGAGGAACACCGGUGGCGAAAGCGGCUCUCUGGACUGUAACUGACGCUGAGGCUCGAAAGCGUGGGUAGCAAACAGG
RNAcentral lists this ribosomal RNA (252 nucleotides) under uncultured microorganism. RNAcentral's name for it is "partial 16S ribosomal RNA". It matches the Rfam family "Bacterial small subunit ribosomal RNA", at positions 524 to 776 of the family's 1533-position model. The record is from RNAcentral.